RNAcentral lists this ribosomal RNA (252 nucleotides) under uncultured bacterium. RNAcentral's name for it is "partial 16S ribosomal RNA". It matches the Rfam family "Bacterial small subunit ribosomal RNA", at positions 524 to 776 of the family's 1533-position model. The record is from RNAcentral.
UACGUAGGGGGCUAGCGUUAUCCGGAAUUACUGGGCGUAAAGCGAGCGCAGGUGGUUUAUUAAGUCUGGUGUAAAAGGCAGUGGCUCAACCAUUGUAUGCAUUGGAAACUGGUAGACUUGAGUGCAGGAGAGGAGAGUGGAAUUCCAUGUGUAGCGGUGAAAUGCGUAGAUAUAUGGAGGAACACCGGUGGCGAAAGCGGCUCUCUGGCCUGUAACUGACACUGAGGCUUGAAAGCGUGGGGAGCAAACAGG